This 49-nucleotide transfer RNA is filed under the name Pseudonaja modesta. RNAcentral describes it as "partial transfer RNA-His". The record is from RNAcentral. Lineage: Eukaryota; Metazoa; Chordata; Lepidosauria; Squamata; Elapidae.
CGUGUGUGUAAUUUAAAAAAAAAUAUCAAGCUGUGACCUUGACAAUAGA